UUUGCAUUAUCCCAACCAUGAGUUCUUAUGUGACAUGGAAUAUGAGAACUCUUCGUUGAUCACGUUCAGUGUAUUCAUUCUCUAUUGAGCACCUACGUACUUGUCUUGAUGUCACACACACCAAUGACUCGAGACUAAUCACUCUCCCUAAGAGAAGACAUAGUACGUACCGAUCUUUACGGACUGUCAAUGCCCAAUUGACAAUCCUAUGAUCAGGAACAUUUAGGAUGUGUCUACGAAAGAAUGGUCUCAUGAAUCUAACUUCAUUAGAUUACAUUCUCCCAAUCACAUAUUCCUUGGACUUUAUCGUUUAAGCAUAUAACAUUUAUAUGAAACGGCUCAAACAAUAAUCUUUGCCCUUUAUAUGUAAACUAGAUUAGUUUAACAUGUGAAAUGUCCGUAAAGUAUCAUCAUAUGAUUGGUUUUAGGGCACAUUUCCAACAAUAUAUAUAUAUAUAUAUGUAUGUAUGUAUAAUACGAAAACAGUUAUGAACAUACUAACCCCCAGGUUUAUAAAUAAUGAAAACUACUAACAUAAUAAAUGAUAGGUUUUCUGAAACUCUAGCAUGCCAUAAAACAUCUCAUCAGGUAUAAUGCGGAAAAACAUCAUAUAAAUCAUCACGUGUAUCGUCUUGUAGAUCGUCUCGUAAGUGCGGUGUGCUGCUGGUAGGAUCACUGAAUAAUAAUACUCCCUCCUGGCCCAAUGCCUGUCUCCAUGUCCCUCAACCUUUCGCUAGGGAUUAUUUCUCCCGGCCUAACUGCCAACACCAGAUCCUCACCCCAGGUGGCAUAGUGUCCACUAGGAAUGCACAAAUAGUUACGCCUCUCAAAAUAACCACUUCAUAGUAUAAAGUCAUCCAUCGUUUAUACUUUAAAAAGGGGUUUUGAAAACAUGUUCUAGUAUCCUAUCGUCAUCCAUCAGAUAGUCUACUAAUUCAUGGUUUUAUAGAAAAUACGAUAUAUAUAUAUAUAUAUAUAUAUAUAUAUAGUUCAAUAUAGGCCAACAAUUAAUUCCUUACAAAAGAACGAGAUGAUAAACAACAUUUCAAUAAACAUGCUUAACAUAAAAUCAGUUCAUAAACUCGUAAGGCAUGCAUUUCAUUUAUGAAAUUAAACUAUAAAAUUAUGCAAAUUUUAGAAGGGUUCCACUCACAGAUACUUCGUAGCAGCAGAGUUGUGCGGAAAAGGAUUAAGGAAAUCCCCACUAGCAACUUCAUCAUCUAAUUCCACUUACAAUAACAAGAAUCGCAACUCCUUUCAAAAAAUUGGUGAGAAUAGCGUCUGUUACCGAGGAGUUUCCCAAGAAAAGCAAUUUAUGUAAGCGAAGCCAAAGCUCGUAGAAUUUUUAUGUCAAGCUUACGGUCAAAGGUUAGUGAACUUGACUUCGCUGUUGGGGUAAGCAAAAAGGUUAUCAAUAAAACAAUCAUAGAGAAUUGCUCUAACGAUCCACACGAAUAUCCUUACUGGAAACGAGUACAAAAACAUUGAUUUGCUCCCACCAACUACCACCUACUAACCGUCGUCACCAAUAGCACUUAAUCCCUUCUUUAGCACGCACUUCGAAUGUUUCGAGCAAUUUCCUAGAGAUAUGACUCUGCCCGCCAUUCCCAUGGAACGCAUGUUGCAGAGUGGCAUCGCCAUUUCGGAUCUACAAGUAGUCUUGACCAUACUUCCGCAAACUGAGAUUUCUAAAACACGUCGCAGAGUAUCCAUCCGAUGUUGAAAGUCAUCCAACAAAUCAAACACGUCACCGAUGAGGCACAAUCCCAACACAAAUUCUUGAAUUUCAACAAGAAGGUGACAAUUCAAACAGAGAAAAAGGUUUGCACAAUUGCGCCGAAUGGCAUUAAAUCUAGAAGUCUUGACAUCCAAAUGAUGUCAAAACCGACACUUUAAGAGAAUAUAAGAGAAUCCUAAGUAUGCUCUGAACAAACCACACUCUAAUACCAAUCUGACACGCCCCGACCCUAAUAUUUCCCGAAUACCAGAAUAAACACGUGCUGGCCGACACCCGAGGGUGACGAAAGCCAUUAAUUGAUACAAAAGCUAAGAAUAAGAAGUAAACAAUGGUUAUGAAUUUAAAUACAAUGACUUAAAAAUUUAGGAACGUGUUCAGAGCAUACAACUAACUAGAGCUCUAAAAGAAUUAAUAAAAAAUUGAAUAAAUAAAAGGAUGUGGGUCCUACACCGAGAGGACUCUGAUCUGAUAUAAACUAGCACUCAAAUUAAACCCUCUUAUUGACAAUUGUAGUAAAGAUGUAAGUAGAGAUCGUUCUAGGCCGGGGAUUAUAAGGGAUUGCUAAUCUACUUAAAACUGACUCAAAAACAUAAAACUAGGCUUGAAAACACUUAACUAGACUCAAAGAACUCAAAACAAACUAAAAAGACUCACAACAACACAAAACAAUCAAAUAGACUCAAACUAUACGCUAGAAAGUGAUUUGGACGAAAAUUGAUUUUAACUUGACUUAAAACACUUAAAAACACAAUUUGGACAAAUUCUAACUAACUUGACACAACCAAAUAAAGGGGGAUUGGGUUUUGGAUGAAAUUAAAGUAAAAACAAGCAGAUUAUAAACUUAAACAAAGUUUGGACGAAAUUGGUGAAUUGGAUGGAUGAUAAGCUAGGUAGAGGGUCAUUCUCCACAUAUAACACAUAUGCACACGAAUUGAUUUCCAGUUACUCUUUCAAUAAACCAUGAACCUCAACGCCCCAGAUUAACCGUGAAUAGCACUAAUUAACCCUCAGAUUUUCCUUAAGUCAUUGAAUUUGAUGGACAACGCAUCGGCAACCAAAUUAUUCUUCAAUAGUUCCCUACAUGAACAACAUAAUAGAGAUACAAUAAAAAAUCAUUAAGCUUUGGAAAAUCAUAAGCAUUGACAAGGCAUUCGUAACUAUGAACAACAUGAUAGUCCUGCCAAGAAUCCACUUAACGUGAUUGUGACUAGCAACCUCCACUACUUAUGAAUAUAAGUUCAUAACGAUUAGGUGAAACUUCCUUAUAUUCUAGCAUCAAAUUCAUGCAUGCAAACUAAGCUGGCCCUCUUAAUCAACAUACAAUUAUAAGUUCUGAAUCAAACAAUUAAGUAAAUUGCAUUCACAAUUCACAAAAUUAUAACUGGAAAUAACCAACUCAUAUUGCAUAUAUUAUCAUGGUUUCAAAGUCUCCUCUAGCCAAAACGAGUUUAGCCUCUCAUGUUCACAGCAAAACAAAGAGAAUUUAAAUUAAACAUUGAGAACUAAGAUAGAUUACACCUAAAAACGUCCAGCAAUCCAACUUGAAUAGCCAAUACGUCCAAGGCUGCUCCUUCUUCUUCUGUGCUGCAGCACAAGGGUUGUGAUGAUAGAUGAGCGGUGAUUUGUGGUGGUAGAUGGAUGUAGGUGAGUUAUGGUGAAGGAUGGAUUGGUAUUGUAGUGAUCAGAACCCCCCAAGUAGUGCGGCAAAGGGUUUUAUUUAUAGGGAUGGGAAAGGCACGACCUAAUUAAUUUUUGUAAACAGGUUUGAUCCCAAAUCCACAAGGAAAAAGAGAAAUAAAUAUCAGAAUUUAAGAAGAAAGGGAAUGUGGGGUGCGGCACAACUUUGAGAAAAGGGGAAAGAAGAUAUGUGGCAGAUUUUGGAAGAAAGGGUAACGAGAUAUGCGGCAAGGACUAGGAGAAAAAGGGAAAGUCAUACAAUGCAAGGAAAAUGGUAAGAAAGGUGCGGCAAAGAUCAGGAAUGAAAUUAGAUCUUCUAGAAUCAUUUAUUUAGUGUCCUAAAAUAAUUAGAGAUCCUCCUUGCAGCUGGAAAUUAGGUGGUUUAGGAUUAGGAAAAGAUUAGGACAAAAUAAGGUAACUUUGGCUAACAUUCCUUCUUUCUUGCUUGCAUCUUUAACUUCCUUUUCUUGAAUUAAUUUCUUCAUAACUUCAGCAUAAUCCUAACCUAUUUUGGUCUUCAAUUUUCGUCCAUCCACCUUGCUCCAUGUAUGUGAUAUCAAUUCUAAGCCCAAAACUGCUCCAAAAAACUCCAAAAUGCACUUUCUUGCUACUUUAGCUUAAAAGACUAAAAUAACUAUGGACUAACAACAUAAAUGCAAGAAAACAAGCUAACUAAGUCACAUAAAUAUGCUUCUAUCAGACUCGAAUAUGCCAAUGCGAAAGCAUUGACUUCGGGAUCGUAUGCCUCAAUUCUAAAUCCUAAAAAGGGGCACAACACAAGGGUGAGUGGACCAAGUUCAUAUAUAUAUGUAUAAUACGAAAACAGUUAUGAACAUACUAACCCCCAGGUUUAUAAAUAAUGAAAACUACUAGCAUAAUAAAUGAUAGGUUUUCUGAAACUCUAGCAUGCCAUAAAACAUCUCAUUAGGUAUAACGCGGAAAAACAUCAUAUAAAUCAUCGCGUGUAUCGUCUCGUAAGCGCGGUGUGUUGCUAGUAGGAUCACUCAAUACUAAUACUCCCGACCCAAUGCCUGCACCAAAGUCUCUAUGCCCGUAGCCAGAGAUAACUCCCUCCCGGCCCAAUGCCUGUCUCCGUGUCCCUCAGCCUUUCGCUAGGAAUUAUUUUGAAGGGAAAUAAUGAGAUUUAUGUGGGAUUUCUAGUGACUAGCAUGCAUAUACAAUUCAAAAUUCAUAUACAUACGCAACGGAAGCAUGUUAUCACAUAAUAUCAAAGCUAUAGUCAUGCAAAUCCCCUUCAAGAAGCAUAGGUUUAUAUGUGAUGCAUCAAAACAUUUUAUUGAAGAACAAAGUGAAGGUAUAGUUUUAUACCUCUUGAUCUAGACUUGAGACCAAGGAUGGACCACCUCCAAGUUCUUUGCUCUUGGAACUCCUUGAGCCUAGCCUCCCUCCUUGCCUCCUCCACUUUGUUAGAAUGAGUACUCAUUGGUUCCCCUUUAGUCUCCAAGAUUGAAGACCUCUAAAGAUCCACACCCACUAGUGUAGUGAGAUGGAUGGAGGAAUAACCAAAGGGUGAGAAGAUGAUUAGCUAAACCCCUUUUGGUGGCCGACCUUGUGUGUGGUUUUUGAGAGAGAGGUUUUCUUCUUUUGUGAAAAAUCAACACACAAAACCCUAAUAAACUUUUCACUAUAAAGUUCCUUUUAUAUCUCAAAGAAAACUAGCCAACCACUUGACUUCCUCUCUCUCCCUUUCCCUCCAUUUGGCCGGCCUCUUUAGUGUUGUUUGGGCUUUGGGCUUUUAUUAUUUCAAGUCAUCCUAUGCUUAAAUAAAAGCCCAAUGGGUUUGGGCUUAAUGGCCCAAAUGAACCCGAACUUUUCUUUAAGCCCAAAACGAUAUUUUAUCGCUUUUAUGAUUUCUUUAGACUUUCUAAUUAAUCACAACACUUAAUUAAUCCAAUUAAUUAUUUCCAUCAUCCAUUAGUUGUCUCACUACAAGAGUGUAUCGGUGUACAAUCAUUUUAGGUUCUAAUUAGCAAGGCAGUGAGGUGAUUGGCACCAAUCCAAUUGAUUAUAUUUAAUCCAAUCACUUAGUGAAUUAAAACUUACUUUUAAUUCUCAUUCUUCUUUGACGACUAACCAUAUAUCAUGGCUACCCAAGCUAAUGUAGAAUUUGUUCGGAGAACCUAUUCAGUUGGAAUUACAAUGUAAUUUGAUCAUUCUCUAAAAUAAUACUCUCAAUCACACUAUUAGGGUAUGGAUAUAUUAUGUCAAACCCCUAAUGUGAUUAUUCCAUGUUAUAUGAUUCAAUUGAGUCGUAUGGGAACGCUUUCCUUUAUUACGCUCAAUACUUCAGCCGAAGAUUCCCGAAUCAUAUCUUAGAGUAUUCAUCCUCUCAUAAUGAGGAUUAGAGAUCCCUUGUUGCGCAUUUACUUGCCUCCAUGGCUAAGUGGCUUAACCCCAACUAUGCCGUGGACACCCGCGAAUGGAGUGACUUUGACAUAAUCAAAGAUCAAGGACCUAACCACAAGACAACUAUGAUGCCUCAGGUCAAAGGACUACUUACAUUAUUCCAACCAUUAGAGUUACUUGCUUGACAUGUGAGUAUACCUCCAUGCAAGUACUCUCGUUCGAUUGUGUUCAGUGAACUCAUUCCCUUAAUGAGCACCUACAUACAUGUCUUAGUGUCACUACACGAAUGGGAUGUGACUUUCCAUCCUUCCAAUUGAAGGGGACAUAGUAUGUACUGGUCUUUGCAUUGUCAGUAUCCCUCUGACAAUCAUAUGACCAGGAACCUUUUGGACAUGAUGGUUAUGUGAAGAAGGUCUCUGUAGUCUAACAUCAUUAGAUUACUUCUUCCAUCGAUCCAUUGUCCAUGGAUUCAUUAUUUAGGACAUAUAUCGUUUAUUGAGAUAGUCCUAAUUAGUAUCUUUGCCUUUUGAUGCAUAAGAGUCAUCUAUACACACAUUCAUUGUCCUGAAAGGUUUCUUCCAAAGAUUGACUUUCAGGGCAUAUUUCCAACAUAUUUCUCCCGGCCUAACUACCAACACUAGAUCCUUACCCCAGGCGGCAUAGUGUCCACUAGGUACGCACAAAUAAUUCCUUACAAAAGAACAAGACGAUAAUCAACAUUUCAAUAAACAGGCUUAACAUAAAAUUAGUUCAUAAACUCGUAAGGCAUGCAUUUCAUUUAUGAAAUUAAACUAUAAAAUAAUGCAAAUUUUAGAAGGGGUCCACUUACAGAUACUCUGUAGUAGCAGAGUUGUGCGGAAAAGGAUUAAGGAAAUCCCCACUAGCAACUUCACCUAAGCACAAAAAAUGUACAAUUUAUUCAAACCACCCAACUAUAGAAUUUCAAGAAAUGGAAUUUGGUCUUGGGUUUGGAUUCGGAUUAAGGCUUAGGUUUAGGUUAAAUAGGGUUAGGACUUAUUGGGUUUUGGGUUUGGGCAGGAACAAAUGGGUGGUUUGGGCUUGAGCCCAAUCCAUACCACACACACAACACACACACACACACUGACACACACAUACACAACACACACACGCACUCACCCACAUGGACACACAUACACACACCACACACACACAAUCCUCAGCCCAAAGCAAAGCACGACCCGCAAGCCAAAUAACCAACCAAAAAGAAGGUUGGGCUUAACCCACUUGAAUAAAACCUGCAUGAGGCCCCUUUUUGGGCUUUUAUAACAAUUAGCUGAAAAUAAGAGGAAGUGGGCUGGGUUUUAUGGUUCUGGGCUGUCCAAAUAUGGGCUAAGGCCCGUGAGUGGCCUAAAAUGGCCUGGUGGCCUGCGUGGUGCUCGGAGAAGAACACCGGAGCUGUUACAGCUCCGGUCAACGGCAAAUGUGCCAUCCAAGCUUCAAACUACACAUCAAAAUGAAGAGGGGAGAGAGAGGAGUAAUAAUAUACCCUUGUUUCACCGUGAAACGGCCAGAUGUGAUCGGAAAGCUCCUUGAAAAUCACGGGUUCGUCGGAAAAAUUGGUGAGUUUUCCCCCGCGUCAUUCCCGUCUUUAAAACCUUGAUAAAAACAAGAUGAAACCCAUCAAACAUCAUGCAUGCAUCCUCAACAACAAUUAAGAGGAGAUCUAAAACUUACCCAACCGGAAAAUUUAAGAAAACUCGCCGGAGGUUCUUUUCUUGGGUUCUCUGAGUUGUGCAGAGACAAGAGGAAAAGGAAAAGAACGAGGUUCAGAUGGUGAAUGUGUCUUCCUCGAGCAGAGAGUGCAGCUGGGUGUGUGAGUGUGUCUCGGUGAAGAUAGGGAAAGAGGAUGGAAGUGAGAUGUGGGGGGACAGAGAGAGAAACAGCAGGAUGAUGAUGACGAUGAUGACGCCGUUGACGUCGGGGAGGGUGGUGUGGUGCUCUCGGGUGUGGAUUGAGGGGUAAGAGAUCGGGGAGUAAGGGAGAGAGAGAUGAGAGUGAGAUGCCGGGGGACAGAGAGAGAAUGAGGUUUGUUAGAGUGCUGCCACCUGGCAGUUUGAGGGAGUUUAGGAAUCUGGAUAAAGGGUCUAGAUUUAGUCAAGCUAGAGGACCAAAAUGAUAAAUUCAAUAAAACUUUGGGAAAAUAUAAAAUUACAUAUAAGUUCAGGGGUGCGGUUUAACAUAUUCCGUCAACUUUGACGGAAUAUUCUCUUCCUUCUUCCUUGGUUCGUCGGAGUCCGAUGCUAGUGACCUGUGCGAUUAUCGGAUUCUGGGAAAUUUUCUAAGCUUAAAUUCUCACUCAUUUCUCAACCAAAAUCCAUGAAAUUUACACCAAAAUGAAGCUUAGGAAAAAAGGAACAAAUCCUUACCACUUUUAGGUCCUAAAUCCACCAGAAAUUUGCCAGAAAAACUUGAGGAAACCGGCCAAACCCUGCAACUAUAUAAACCCAAGUGUUCUUACGUCAAAACCACUCCAAAAUUGAUCCAACGUGCUAGAAAAUCAAGAAUAAUACCUUCUUAGGUCUCAAAACAACCUAAAACCUUCGCGAUCACGUCGAAGAAAAUUCACCCCUCACCGGAGCUUGGGUAACUUGAGUUUUACAAGUCCUCACGUCCAACCAAGGAUAUAAAUCAACUCUUGAGCUUGAAAGGAAGACGAAAACCACCUUCACAGUCUCGAUCCAUGCAUGAAAGGGAUGGUUAAGGGAUUGUUCGUACAAUUGUACGGAAAAUGGAAGAAAUCCGAGAGGGAAAAGAGAGAGAGAAAUUCAACGGGAGGGUGAUAGUGUGUGUGGGGUCCAGAUUUGGGCUACCAAACAAAACAAAUAAAAAAAUUUAAUUCUAAUGGAUCCAAACACUUAGGAAAGAAAUCAAGUGGUCCACAUCCUUAGCCCAUUUACACACCACCACCAGACGCUCAAGGGUAAAAUAUUAAUUUCCCCGCCCUCGAGGACAAAAUAAUAUAAACAUUCGAGAUGGGUUGUCACAUUUAUAGUAUAACUUGUUUGUUAAUCUUAAUGUUUGAUCACCAUUAGGGUUGCUUAUGAAUUAUUUGAUCAAGGUGAAGGAAAUUUUGUGAAAAACAUGUUCAUUUGAGCAACAUCUAUAACAUGCAAUUAACAAAUUAAAGGCGGAAUCAUGCUUGCAUGCACUCAAAACAAAACAUUACCCAUGAAAUUCAAAGCCUAGUAGUUAGGUGAACCAAGACUCAACUCAAAAGAAAGUGAGUUGAGAAAUUUAUACCUUUGUAGAUUCCGCUUUGCAAAAGCAAAGGAUAAUCACCCAAAAGACAGGGCCUUCAUUCCUUGCUUCUUAGAUCCAUGGAUUUGGAUGGAAGAAUAGGUUUCUCCAAGUUCCCAAAAUUGAGAACCUCUAAGUCUCCAUGAUAGGAGCAUAUUUAUGCGCCUUAGUUUAGCUUGUUCUUGUGCAUUUAUAGUGUUUUUCCUUAGUAAAGUAGUCUUUUAAGCUAGUUUCUUGUGUUAUCAGGUUUUAAAGGCAUAUUACAUAAAAAGAAGCAAUUUGGAGCCUUUUGGAGCAAAAUGGAGCUUGGAUUGGAUAUCACAUAUUUGGAGCCAAGGGUUUGGACGAAAUUUGAAGAUUUGAAGAUGAUGAUUCCUACUUGAGAUAGGAUUCCUAGUUGAAGUAGGAAAUAGCCAAAUUGAAGAUGAAAUCCUAGUCCAAGAAGGAGUCCUAAUCAAUCAAGGAUUCCUAAUUGAAGGUGGAUUCCUAGACGAAUGAAGUUUCCUACUCAAACAAGGUUUCCUACUCGAAGUAGGAAAGUUAAAUCCAAAUGGCAUCAAGUUUCAGCAAUAAAGAAGUUUUCCAAAUCCAAGAAGGAAAAGGUUUCCAAGAUGAAGAAGGAGAAGAAUUCCAAGUCAAGGGAGGAUUGAGACAUGUUUUCCUAAUGCUAGAAGGACUCCUAAGUGUUGUAGGACACAAAUGAGAAGUUUCUAGAGAGUUGUCUUCCUUGCCGUGAGUUCCUACAUUUCCUAUCAGUUUUGGGGCUUUCUAGAAGCCCUAUCCCUAAUCCCUACAAAUGUGCCGCACCCUAGCUUCUAGAAAUCUGAUUUCCUUGCCUUGCAAAGCUUUCUAGAAGCCUUAUCCACCUUAUCCCUAUCCAGCCGCACCUAGGAGGCCUUUUUCCAUUCAAUUUCUGGUUGUUUUAAGCCUUUUCCUGAUGGGAUUUAAUUAUACAAGUCCUAAUCUGAUUUGCUAGGGUUUUUGGGGCCUAUAUAUACUUGUUUUCACCCUUUGGCCGAAUCACCACUCACCACAAUUCACAAUUCACUCCAGAAAUUCGUCCAACCCUCUCCACACCUUUGCCGCAGCCACCAAACACCUUUCUCCCUAGUUUUUAAGCCUUGCCGCACCAUCCCCAUCCCCUAAACACUACUACAUUCAUCCAUAACCAUGCAUCCAUACACCUAAGGUCCUAAACCUGUCCCUAGACCCUUUGCCGCACCAAGGAGGAGGAGAAGGAAGCUCGGAAGUUCAUGCAAUUCAAGUUCGCGUCGCUGGAAUUUCUAGGUGUUUCUUUUCCUUUGAUUUUAAUUUCUAAAUUUAUGUAUCUUUGCUUUGCGAGUAUGAGGAACUAAACCCCCCCUUGGCUAGGGGGGGAUUCGAAACCAUGUUUAUGCUUGCUAUAUGAUUUGAUUACUUCUAAUUGCGUUUCAUAAGUUGUGAAUUCAAUUUACUUAUCUACAAGAAUUAAAAUUGAUUUGUGUAUGUUGGUUGAGGGUCGACACUUAAUUUGCAUGCAUGAAUUUGAUGCUAGGAUAUAAGGAAAUUUCACCUAAUCGUUAUGGACUUAUAUUCAUAAGUAGUAAAGGUUGAUGGUCUCAAUCGCGUUAAGUAAAUUCUUGGCAUAAGUUUCAUGCAAUCAUAGUAACAAGUGCUUCGUCAAUGCUUGUGGUUUUCAUAGAACUUAAUGAUUCUUGCUUGUAUCUCUAUUAUGCAAUCAUGUAGGGGACUUGUGGGGAAUGCUUUGGGUUGUCGUAUGCAAUCAUCCAAUUCAAUAACGUUAGGAAAAUCUGAAGGUUAAUUUAAGCGGACCUAAUUAACAUGUGUGGAGAUGAACCCCUUAGCUAGCCUUCCAUCCAUUCAUUUAAAUCAAAUUCGUUUUUAAAAUCUGUCUAGUUUACAAAGUUUGUUUUGUUUUCAAAUUCGUCCAAAAUCAAUCCCCCUUUUCUUUGUUGAGUCAUAUUAGUUAGAAGUCAAGUUAGUUUGUGUUUUUAAGUGUCUUAGGUCAAGUUAAAACCAAUUUUCGUCCAAGUUUGUGUCUAGUGUUCAAAACUGCCCAGAUUGUGUUUUUAAGGCAGUUUUGAGUGUUUUGGGGCAGUUUUGAGUCUUUUGGUUUGUUUUAGUGUUUUAAAGUUUAGUUUUGCAUUCUUUGAGUCUAGUUUAGUGUUUUAAACUUGUUUUUACGUAUUUGAGUUAGUUUUCAAGUGAUUUUGCAAUCCCUCCUAAUCCCCGGCCUAGAACGAUCCCUACUUACAUACUUACUACAAUUGAUAAAAAGAGGGUUAAUUUGAGUGCUAGUUAAUUUUCACAUCACUCCACACCAAGGUAAGAUGUGAAGAAAAGAUGAGUGACCUUGGAGGAGAAAGAUUAAUAGCUAAUCCCUCCAAGGGUGGCCGGCCUCUUUAGAGAGAAAAGAGAGCUUUGUGUUCUCUCCAAUUUCCUCAAAAAACCCUAAAUGAAUUUUGGCUAUAAAGUCAUAUUUAUACCUUUAUUCAUUGGAGUGGCAAACUUGUAAUUAAAGCAAGUUCCCUCCCUCUAAAUGGCCGGCCUUAGGGUAUUAUUGGGCUAUUUGGGCCUUUGUGAAUCAUUAUUCAUUAAGUUGUCAUACAACUUAAGUCAAUGGACUUGACGUUCAAAGCCCAUUGGGCCUUAAGGUCCAAUACUAUUCCGAGGUUUUUAACGAACUUAUUCGUUUGAUUAAUUAACAUAUUAAUUAAUCCUUGCCAUAAAUAAUUAAACCAUUUAAUUA
RNAcentral lists this long non-coding RNA (11789 nucleotides) under Malus domestica (apple). RNAcentral describes it as "long non-coding RNA (MDOM_LNC019833)". The record is from RNAcentral. Lineage: Eukaryota; Viridiplantae; Streptophyta; Magnoliopsida; Rosales; Rosaceae.